This 1272-nucleotide long non-coding RNA is filed under the name Ananas comosus (pineapple). RNAcentral describes it as "long non-coding RNA (ACOM_LNC026958)". Lineage: Eukaryota; Viridiplantae; Streptophyta; Magnoliopsida; Poales; Bromeliaceae. The record is from RNAcentral.
UUUGGGUUGAGCAUGUCACAAUAACUGAGCAAUUAUCAUUUAUUGUUGGAUCGUUGGUGCUAACUAUUAAUUCCAAAAGUUCGAGCUAUUAGAAAUACGCAACCAAUUCACUUAGGUAUCGUUUGGUUCGGGGAUAAAAAAAAAAGUGGCUGUUCCAGGAAUAGGUAUAAAUUGAGGUAUAAGUGAGGAUUAGAUCAAUUUUGCGUUUGGAUGAAAAUUGGGUUAUUCCUGGAAUAAAAAAAAUAGCGUUUGGUUAGGUAAGAUGGAAUAAGAAAGAUAAUAGGUUUUGUAAAUAAAAAAUAAUGAUAUUAUCCACUUAUUAUAUUUGAAUUUGAAUUUUUAAAUUUUUAAAUUUAUAUUUCUAAAUUUAAAAUUUUAACUUUGAAAUUUAAAAUCUCAAAUUUUAAAUUCAAAAUUUUAAAUUUUAAAUUUCAAACUUUAAAUUUAAGAUCAUAUUUAAAUUAAAAAAAUAUAAAAUAUCAAAUUUUAAAUUUCAAAAAUUUAAAAUAUCAAAAUUUAAAUUUAAAAUUUAAAAUUUAUAAUUUAAAUUUUAAACUUUAAUUUUGAGAUUAUAAAUUAUAAAUUUUAAAAAUUUAAAUUUUUAAUUUUUAAAAUUUUAAAAUAAGAAUAGUGGUGGGAACAAUUAAUAAAAAUAAUUUAUUAUAAUAAAUUUAUAAUUUUUUUAAAAAUUCUACUUAAACUUAAAUUUAAUAAAAAAAAUUUAUUAUAAUAUUUAAAUAUAAUUUAUUAUAAAUUUUAUUAUAAUAUUUAAAUAUAAAUAAUAUGUAUUAAUAUAGUACAAUUAAUAAUUUUAUAAUAAAAAUAAUGUAUUAUAAUAUAUAACAUAUUAUAUUUAUAUAAUUUAGUUUAAUUCAAUUUAUAAGUUUAAUUAAGUUUGAAAUUAAGCAUUGGAAUAGCACUAUUCCACCAAAAUGGUGGAAUAGCAAAUCCCUUGCUAUUUCGGGAUAACCGAGAAUAGCAAGGUUUGACCGGGAUAAAAUAUUCCGGCCAAAUUUUACCCCGUUUGGCGGAAUAGCGGGGAUAACAAAAGUUAUCCCCGCUUAUCCCGCGAUCCAAACGGGGCCUUAAAGCGUACAGAUACAGCGCCUACGGGUCCUAUCUAGCCUCACGCCAUAUCGAACAUGACUCGACCCAACAUGGCCUCCCGUUACAGAGCAGGAUGCUGGCCCAUUUAAGUCAACAAUCCCACAUUUGGGGCAUGCGGGAAUCGAACCUGUGACCUCUGUCUCUGAUACUACUUGUCAGAUUGAU